AUAAAAGACUCUCGGCAACGGAUAUCUCGGCUCUCGCAUCGACGAAGAACAUAGCGAAAUGCGAUACUUGGUGUGAGUUGUAGAAUCCCGUGAACCAUCGAGUCUUUGAACGCAUGUUGCGCCCGAAGCCAUUAGGCCGAGGGGCAUC
RNAcentral lists this ribosomal RNA (148 nucleotides) under Capsicum chinense (habanero). RNAcentral describes it as "5.8S ribosomal RNA". It matches the Rfam family "5.8S ribosomal RNA". Rfam says of the family: 5.8S ribosomal RNA (5.8S rRNA) is a component of the large subunit of the eukaryotic ribosome. It is transcribed by RNA polymerase I as part of the 45S precursor that also contains 18S and 28S rRNA. Functionally, it is thought that 5.8S rRNA may be involved in ribosome translocation. Lineage: Eukaryota; Viridiplantae; Streptophyta; Magnoliopsida; Solanales; Solanaceae. The record is from RNAcentral.